RNAcentral lists this ribosomal RNA (493 nucleotides) under uncultured bacterium. Its description in RNAcentral is "bacterial SSU rRNA". It matches the Rfam family "Bacterial small subunit ribosomal RNA", at positions 28 to 507 of the family's 1533-position model. The record is from RNAcentral.
GAUGAACGCUAGCUACAGGCUUAACACAUGCAAGGUCGAGGGGAAACGACAUCGAAAGCUUGCUUUUGAUGGGCGUCGACCGGCGCACGGGUGAGUAACGCGUAUCCAACCUGCCCACCAUUGGGGAUAACCUUGCGAAAGUAAGACUAAUACCCAAUGAUAUCCCACGAAGGCAUCCGAAUGGGAUUAAAGAUUUAUCGGUGAUGGAUGGGGAUGCGUCUGAUUAGCUUGUUGGCGGGGUAACGGCCCACCAAGGCUACGAUCAGUAGGGGGUUCUGAGAGGAAGGUCCCCCACAUUGGAACUGAGACACGGUCCAAACUCCUACGGGAGGCAGCAGUGAGGAAUAUUGGUCAAUGGGCGAGAGCCUGAACCAGCCAAGUAGCGUGCAGGAUGACGGCCCUAUGGGUUGUAAACUGCUUUUAUAAGGGAAUAAAGUGGGUCUCGUGAGACUUUUUGCAUGUACCUUAUGAAUAAGGACCGGCUAAUUCCGUG